AGUCGUUUGGGCGACUUAAAAUAGCUGAUUUAGCCCAAAGCGUUCUCAGAGGUAAAACUCUGAGAUGUUCAG
This 72-nucleotide ribozyme is filed under the name unclassified sequences. Its description in RNAcentral is "pistol ribozyme". It matches the Rfam family "Pistol ribozyme". The record is from RNAcentral.